This 254-nucleotide ribosomal RNA is filed under the name uncultured bacterium. RNAcentral describes it as "partial 16S ribosomal RNA". It matches the Rfam family "Archaeal small subunit ribosomal RNA", at positions 474 to 727 of the family's 1478-position model. The record is from RNAcentral.
CCCCAGCGCCACUAGUGGGAAUCGCGUUUAUUGGGCCUAAAGCAUCCGUAGCCGGUUUUGUAAAUCUUUUGUGAAAUUGUUUCGCUCAACGGAACAGCGCGCAGGGGACACUGCAGAACUAGGGACCGGGAGGAGUAAGAGGUAUGCAAUGGGGAGCGGUAAAAUGCUAUAAUCCAUUGUAGACCACCUGUGGCGAAGGCGUCUUACUAGAACGGGUCCGACGGUGAGGGAUGAAAGCCAGGGGAGCAAACCGG